AACGAACGCUAUCGGUAUGCUUAACACAUGCAAGUCGGACGGACUAAUUAGGGCUUGCUCCAAUUAGUUAGUGGCAGACGGUUGAGUAACACGUGGGAAUCUGCCCAUCAGUACGAAAUAACUUUUAGAAAAAAAAGCUAAUACCUUUUAUUCUCUACAGGGUAAAGAUUUAUCGCUGAUGGAUGAGCCCGCUUCAGAUAAGGUAGUUGGUGAGGUAACGGCUCACCAAGCGGACGAUCUGUAGCUGGUGUGAGAGGAUGAUCAGCCACACUGGGACUGAGACACGGCCCAGACUCCUACGGGAGGAAGCAGUGGGGAAUAUUGGACAAUGGGCGAAAGCCUGAUCCAGCAAUACCGAGUGAGUGAUAAAGGCCCUAGGGUUGUAAAGCUCUUUUAGAAAGGAAGAUAAUGACGUUACUUGCAGAAAAAGCCCCGGCUAACUCCGUG
RNAcentral lists this ribosomal RNA (447 nucleotides) under uncultured bacterium. RNAcentral's name for it is "partial 16S ribosomal RNA". It matches the Rfam family "Bacterial small subunit ribosomal RNA", at positions 29 to 507 of the family's 1533-position model. The record is from RNAcentral.